GUCACUAAAAGCAAAGAUGACUAGCAUUAUUACAAGUGUUUGUGUUUCUCUAGUAUGCAUCACAGCUGCAUGUUUUGGUAAAACUGUUUUUCAGUCACCUGGUGACCUCAUAAAGAACAAAGAUGAAUCUGCAGUGAUCAUAUGUGCUCAUAAUAUACCAAAUUAUGACCGUAUUCUUUGGUACAAGAAAGACAUCAUGGGCUUCAAGUUCAUGGGAUACCUUAAUCUUGAAAAUAAAUACCCAGAGUCUGAAUUUGAAAACACGAUCAAUCUGAACGGAGAUGGAAGAAAAAACGGCACUCUGAUUAUCAGCAACCUCAGACUGAACGACAGUGCAGUGUAUUUCUGUGCAGCAUAUGACACAGUGCUCAGAAUCACAUCUGUCUGA
This is a non-coding RNA of Onychostoma macrolepis, 388 nucleotides long. NCBI's taxonomy places the organism in Eukaryota, Metazoa, Chordata, Actinopteri, Cypriniformes, Cyprinidae. The record is from the annotation of a RefSeq genome assembly.